RNAcentral lists this ribosomal RNA (717 nucleotides) under uncultured Alphaproteobacteria bacterium. RNAcentral's name for it is "bacterial SSU rRNA". It matches the Rfam family "Bacterial small subunit ribosomal RNA", at positions 59 to 821 of the family's 1533-position model. The record is from RNAcentral. Lineage: Bacteria; Pseudomonadati; Pseudomonadota; Alphaproteobacteria.
CAGUCGAACGAAGUCUUCGGACUUAGUGGCGCACGGGUGAGUAACAUGUGGGAAUCUACCUAGAGGUUUGGAAUAACUAUGGGAAACUGUAGCUAAUACUAAAUGUGUCCGCAAGGAGAAAGAUUUAUUGCCUUUAGAUGAGCCCGCACUAGAUUAGUUUGUUGGUAGGGUAAAGGCCUACCAAGGCUACGAUCUAUAGCUGAUUUGAGAGGAUGAUCAGCCACACUGGGACUGAGACACGGCCCAGACUCCUACGGGAGGCAGCAGUGGGGAAUAUUGGACAAUGGGGGAAACCCUGAUCCAGCAAUGUCGCGUGAGUGAAGAAGGCCUUCGGGUUGUAAAACUCUUUCAGCAGUGAAGAUAAUGACGGUAACUGAAGAAGAAGCACCGGCUAACUCCGUGCCAGCAGCCGCGGUAAUACGGAGGGUGCUAGCGUUGUUCGGAAUUACUGGGCGUAAAGAGCGCGUAGGCGGGCUAAAAAGUUAGACGUGAAAUCCCUAAGCUCAACUUAGGAACUGCGUUUAAAACUGUUGGUCUAGAAUUUGGGAGAGGGUAGUAGAAUUUCCAGUGUAGAGGUGAAAUUCGUAGAUAUUGGAAAGAAUACCAGUGGCGAAGGCGACUACCUGGACCAACAUUGACGCUAAGGCGCGAAAGCGUGGGUAGCAAACAGGAUUAGAUACCCUGGGUAGUCCACGCAGUAAACGAUGAGAGCUAGUC